UACGUAGGGGGCGAGCGUUGUUCGGAAUUACUGGGCGUAAAGGGCUCGUAGGCGGCCAACUAAGUCGGACGUGAAAUCCCUCGGCUCAACCGGGGAACUGCGUCCGAUACUGGAUGGCUUGAGUUCGGGAGAGGGAUGCGGAAUUCCAGGUGUAGCGGUGAAAUGCGUAGAUAUCUGGAGGAACACCGGUGGCGAAGGCGGCAUCCUGGACCGACACUGACGCUGAGUGAGCGAAAGCCAGGGGAGCAAACGGG
Molecule: ribosomal RNA, 254 nt
Filed under: uncultured bacterium
Lineage: Bacteria
Description: partial 16S ribosomal RNA
Rfam family: Bacterial small subunit ribosomal RNA
Source: RNAcentral